UUGAACUGAAGAGUUUGAUCAUGGCUCAGAUUGAACGCUGGCGGCAGGCCUAACACAUGCAAGUCGAGCGGAUGACAGGAGCUUGCUCCUGGAUUCAGCGGCGGACGGGUGAGUAAUGCCUAGGAAUCUGCCUGGUAGUGGGGGACAACGUUUCGAAAGGAACGCUAAUACCGCAUACGUCCUACG
Molecule: ribosomal RNA, 186 nt
Filed under: Pseudomonas sp. LP_4_YM
Lineage: Bacteria; Pseudomonadati; Pseudomonadota; Gammaproteobacteria; Pseudomonadales; Pseudomonadaceae
Description: partial 16S ribosomal RNA
Rfam family: Bacterial small subunit ribosomal RNA
Source: RNAcentral